RNAcentral lists this ribosomal RNA (572 nucleotides) under Fusarium lunatum. RNAcentral's name for it is "eukaryotic LSU rRNA". It matches the Rfam family "Eukaryotic large subunit ribosomal RNA", at positions 53 to 650 of the family's 3401-position model. The record is from RNAcentral. Lineage: Eukaryota; Fungi; Ascomycota; Sordariomycetes; Hypocreales; Nectriaceae.
GAGGAAAAGAAACCAACAGGGAUUGCCCUAGUAACGGCGAGUGAAGCGGCAACAGCUCAAAUUUGAAAUCUGGCUCUCGGGCCCGAGUUGUAAUUUGUAGAGGAUGCUUUUGGUGAGGUGCCUUCCGAGUUCCCUGGAACGGGACGCCAUAGAGGGUGAGAGCCCCGUCUGGUUGGACACCGAGCCUCUGUAAAGCUCCUUCGACGAGUCGAGUAGUUUGGGAAUGCUGCUCUAAAUGGGAGGUAUAUGUCUUCUAAAGCUAAAUAUUGGCCAGAGACCGAUAGCGCACAAGUAGAGUGAUCGAAAGAUGAAAAGCACUUUGAAAAGAGAGUUAAAAAGCACGUGAAAUUGUUGAAAGGGAAGCGCUUGUGACCAGACUUGGGCUUGGUUAAUCAUCCGGCGUUCUCGCCGGUGCACUUUUCCAGUCCAGGCCAGCAUCAGUUUGCCUUGGGGGAUAAAAGCUUCGGGAAUGUGGCUCCUCCGGGAGUGUUAUAGCCCGUUGCACAAUACCCUGGGGCGGACUGAGGUUCGCGCAUUCGCAAGGAUGCUGGCGUAAUGGUCAUCAGCGACCC